This 253-nucleotide ribosomal RNA is filed under the name uncultured bacterium. RNAcentral's name for it is "partial 16S ribosomal RNA". It matches the Rfam family "Bacterial small subunit ribosomal RNA", at positions 524 to 776 of the family's 1533-position model. The record is from RNAcentral.
UACGUAGGGGGCAAGCGUUGUCCGGAAUCAUUGGGCGUAAAGCGCGUGUAGGCGGCUCGGUAAGUCCGCUCUGAAAGUCCAAGGCUCAACCUUGGGAUGCGGGUGGAUACUGCCGGGCUCGAGUCCGGAAGAGGCGAGUGGAAUUCCUGGUGUAGCGGUGAAAUGCGCAGAUAUCAGGAGGAACACCGGUGGCGAAGGCGGGUCUCUGGGCCGAUACUGACGCUGAGGAGCGAAAGCGUGGGGAGCGAACAGG